UUCAAGCAUUGCGGAAUCUUCGAAGUGAAGACUCGACGAACGCCGCCCAGCCCGACCGAAUCCUCCUAUCAGCCUCCUUCUUGAAGUUGUUGCGGCUUAGUUGGAUAGUAUGGCCUAGUUCAUACAGAUGCCGACAAGUCAGGAGGACUUGCUAAGGCCGGCCAGCAUUCGACCUAACUCAUCCAACAUCUCCGCAGCAAUAAUGACAUAUGAAUAAUGAAAUUACAUGUAAAGUGUUAUUGGUCAAUUUACUAUGGUUAAUAAUUAAUUUUAGUAGUCUUUUGUUAAUAGAUACGUUAAAUAGAUGAAAAAAUAAUUA
This is a long non-coding RNA of Melitaea cinxia (Glanville fritillary), 319 nucleotides long. RefSeq lists it as uncharacterized. The transcript has 2 exons. The record is from RefSeq and is a predicted model, not a curated record. NCBI's taxonomy places the organism in Eukaryota, Metazoa, Arthropoda, Insecta, Lepidoptera, Nymphalidae.